GAUGAACGCUGGCGGCGUGCCUAAUACAUGCAAGUCGAGCGAACAGACGAGGAGCUUGCUCCUCUGACGUUAGCGGCGGACGGGUGAGUAACACGUGGAUAACCUACCUAUAAGACUGGGAUAACUUCGGGAAACCGGAGCUAAUACCGGAUAAUAUAUUGAACCGCAUGGUUCAAUAGUGAAAGACGGUUUUGCUGUCACUUAUAGAUGGAUCCGCGCCGCAUUAGCUAGUUGGUAAGGUAACGGCUUACCAAGGCAACGAUGCGUAGCCGACCUGAGAGGGUGAUCGGCCACACUGGAACUGAGCCACGGUCCAGCUUCCUCCGGGAGGCAGCAGUAGGGAAUCUUCCGCAAUGGGCGAAAGCCUGACGGAGCAACGCCGCGUGAGUGAUGAAGGUCUUCGGAUCGUAAAACUCUGUUAUUAGGGAAGAACAAAUGUGUAAGUAACUAUGCACGUCUUGACGGUACCUAAUCAGAAAGCCACGGCUAACUACGUG
This 497-nucleotide ribosomal RNA is filed under the name uncultured bacterium. Its description in RNAcentral is "partial 16S ribosomal RNA". It matches the Rfam family "Bacterial small subunit ribosomal RNA", at positions 28 to 507 of the family's 1533-position model. The record is from RNAcentral.